RNAcentral lists this ribosomal RNA (458 nucleotides) under Granulicatella elegans. Its description in RNAcentral is "bacterial SSU rRNA". It matches the Rfam family "Bacterial small subunit ribosomal RNA", at positions 28 to 467 of the family's 1533-position model. The record is from RNAcentral. Lineage: Bacteria; Bacillati; Bacillota; Bacilli; Lactobacillales; Carnobacteriaceae.
GACGAACGCUGGCGGCGUGCCUAAUACAUGCAAGUCGAACGAGAGCGACCGGUGCUUGCACUGGUCAAUCUAGUGGCGAACGGGUGAGUAACACGUGGGUAACCUGCCCAUCAGAGGGGGAUAACAUUCGGAAACGGAUGCUAAAACCGCAUAGGUUCUACAGUCGCAUGACUGAAGAAGGAAAAGAGGCUUCGGCUUCUGCUGAUGGAUGGACCCGCGGUGCAUUAGCUAGUUGGUGAGGUAACGGCUCACCAAGGCCGUGAUGCAUAGCCGACCUGAGAGGGUGAUCGGCCACAUUGGGACUGAGACACGGCCCAAACUCCUACGGGAGGCAGCAGUAGGGAAUCUUCCGCAAUGGACGCAAGUCUGACGGAGCAACGCCGCGUGAGUGAAGAAGGAUUUCGGUUCGUAAAACUCUGUUGUUAGAGAAGAACAGCGCAUAGAGUAACUGUUAUGCG